Non-coding RNA from Paramuricea clavata, 91 nucleotides. The record is from the annotation of a GenBank genome assembly. NCBI's taxonomy places the organism in Eukaryota, Metazoa, Cnidaria, Anthozoa, Malacalcyonacea, Plexauridae.
AUCUCGUUCUCAGAGUAUGCCUGUUCGCGGGUUAGGUAGUGGCACUACCUAACCCGCGAACAGGCAUACUCUGGGAACGAGAUUCUGAAAA